This is a transfer RNA of Capnocytophaga canimorsus Cc5, 74 nucleotides long. It matches the Rfam family "tRNA". Rfam says of the family: Transfer RNA (tRNA) molecules are approximately 80 nucleotides in length. Their secondary structure includes four short double-helical elements and three loops (D, anti-codon, and T loops). Further hydrogen bonds mediate the characteristic L-shaped molecular structure. tRNAs have two regions of fundamental functional importance: the anti-codon, which is responsible for specific mRNA codon recognition, and the 3' end, to which the tRNAs corresponding amino acid is attached (by aminoacyl-tRNA synthetases). tRNAs cope with the degeneracy of the genetic code in two manners: having more than one tRNA (with a specific anti-codon) for a particular amino acid; and 'wobble' base-pairing, i.e. permitting non-standard base-pairing at the 3rd anti-codon position. NCBI's taxonomy places the organism in Bacteria, Pseudomonadati, Bacteroidota, Flavobacteriia, Flavobacteriales, Flavobacteriaceae. The record is from Rfam.
UCCUCCUUAGCUCAGUUGGUUAGAGCAUCUGACUGUUAAUCAGAGGGUCACUGGUUCAAGUCCAGUAGGGGGAG